Non-coding RNA from Pelobates cultripes (western spadefoot toad), 206 nucleotides. Lineage: Eukaryota; Metazoa; Chordata; Amphibia; Anura; Pelobatidae. The record is from the annotation of a GenBank genome assembly.
CCUUAAUUUCUUAUUUACUAAUACAUAUCUCCUUUCUUAUCUUUUAUAUAUUUUUUAUGCAUUUAUUAAUUGUAUUUUAUAUUGAGUGCUGUUAGAUUUUAUAUGUAUGGACAACUAUGGACAGAUCUCUGGUAGAAUUUCAAUACCAGCGUCCGCUAUUCACCCGGAAGUGAGUCACCAUAUCAAGUGGAACGCAUAGAACGUUU